CAAUAGCGUAUAUUAAAGUUGUUGCAGUUAAAAAGCUCGUAGUCGGAUUUCUGGCUUGGAAGGGCGGUCCGUUUGGCCUUGCCAGAUGUGAACCAGCAUCUUCCAGCCAUCCUCGUGGAGAGCUGUCACCAGUAACCCUGGAGGCACGCGAUCCACGUCAUUUACUGUGAACAAAUUAGAGUGUUCAAAGCAGGCUUACGCCACUGAAUACAUUAGCAUGGAAUAAUCCUAUAGGACUUUGGUGAUUCUAUUGUUGGUUACGCACCAGAGUAAUGAUUAAUAGGGAUAGUUGGGGGUAUUCGUAUUCAAUUGUCAGAGGUGAAAUUCUUGGAUUUAUGGAAGACGAACAACUGCGAAAGCAUUUACCAAGGAUGUUUUCAUUGAUCAAGAACGAAAGUUAGGGAUCGAAGACGAUUAGAUACCAU
This 425-nucleotide ribosomal RNA is filed under the name uncultured eukaryote. RNAcentral describes it as "bacterial SSU rRNA". It matches the Rfam family "Eukaryotic small subunit ribosomal RNA", at positions 592 to 1018 of the family's 1831-position model. The record is from RNAcentral.